GGAGUACGUUCGCAAGAAUGAAACUCAAAGGAAAAGACGGGGACCCGCACAAGCGGUGGAGCAUGUGGUUUAAUUCGAGGCAACGCGAAGAACCUUACCCAGCCCUGACAUCCCGGCGAGAACGGGGCAAUGCCCGUUGCCCUUCGGGGCGCCGGAGACAGGUGGUGCAUGGUUGUCGUCAGCUCGUGUCGUGAGAUGUUGGGUCAAGUCCCGCAACGAGCGCAACCCCUGCCCCCAGUAGCCAGCGUAGAGGCGGGCACUCUGGGGGGACUGCCGGGGACAACCCGGAGGAGGGCGGGGACGACGUCAAAUCAUCAUGCCCCUUACGGCUGGGGCUACACACGUGCUACAAUGGGGCCGACAGAGGGAAGCGGACGCGCGAGCGCGAGCGGACCCCAAAAACGGCCCCCCAGUUCGGAUUGCAGCCUGCAACUCGGCUGCAUGAAGCCGGAAUCGCUAGUAAUCGCGGAUCAGAACGCCGCGGUGAAUACGUUCCCGGGUCUUGCACACACCGCCCGUCA
This 521-nucleotide ribosomal RNA is filed under the name uncultured bacterium. RNAcentral's name for it is "bacterial SSU rRNA". It matches the Rfam family "Bacterial small subunit ribosomal RNA", at positions 877 to 1399 of the family's 1533-position model. The record is from RNAcentral.